CGCACCUUGCGCCUUUUGGUAUUCCGAAAGGCAUGCCUGUUUGAGUGUCAUGAAAUCUCAACCCCUCUGGUUUUCUGAACUGGUUGGGUUGGACUUGGGUGAUCUGCCAGCAAUGGCUCGCCUCAAAUGACUUAGUGGAACAUCCCACAUCAGUGUUAGACGUAAUAAGUUUCGUCUCUCCUUGUGGUGAUGACCGCUCAGAACUUGCCAUCGCGCACUUUUGACUUUGACCUCAAAUCAGGUAGGGCUACCCGCUGAACUUAA
RNAcentral lists this unclassified non-coding RNA (264 nucleotides) under Papiliotrema sp. Its description in RNAcentral is "partial contains 5.8S ribosomal RNA, internal transcribed spacer 2, and large subunit ribosomal RNA". The record is from RNAcentral. Lineage: Eukaryota; Fungi; Basidiomycota; Tremellomycetes; Tremellales; Rhynchogastremaceae.